CAACUCUACAAUCCAAACACAUUCUUAGUCUAUCACGUACACACUAUGUGAGGAACAGCCAAGUACACUGGGAGGAGUGGAGGACACUGGAGAGAGGAUGAAAAGUUUCCUCUGCAACUCCUCAACUCAAUUUCAUGCACCACCAACCACAGUCCCUCACCACAAAUAUACAGUUACCAACACUCUCAAUUGGCCUCAGAAAACCCUAAUUGGUUCUAUUGCUGGGACUAUCUCCUUUGGGCUCCUCAUUUCUUCGCCUAAUUCUUCCAUAGCGUUCGAGUCUCCCUCGUCUAUCCAGAGCUCAUCUUCUUCAACGACGACGGAGUAUUGUCGCGAAGAGGAGAUUAGAGAAGAGAGGUAUGAGAAAGCUCCUGAAUUGGUGACGAAUGAAGAGAUUGUGGAGGAAGCUUGGGAGAUUGUCAAUGACAGCUUUCUCGACACCGGUCGCCAUCGAUGGUCCCCUGAGAUAUGGCUGCAAAAGAAAGAAGAUAUUUUAGGCACGUCCAUUCAGACAAGAUCAAAAGCUCAUGAUAUUAUCCGGCGGAUGUUGGCAAGCUUGGGUGACCCUUACACACGUUUUCUUUCUCCGCCGGAGUUCUCCAGGAUGGCGAGGUAUGACAUGACUGGAAUUGGAAUAAACCUCAGGGAAAUUCCAGAUGACAAUGGAGCUGUGAAACUAAAGGUUUUAGGGCUAAUAUUGGAUGGCCCUGCCCAUACUGCGGGUGUGAGACAGGGAGAUGAAGUCUUAUCUGUUAAUGGAGUGGAUGUGAGGGGGAAAUCUGCCUUUGAAGUCUCUUCUCUAUUACAAGGCCCCAAUGAAACAUUCGUGACCAUGAAGGUCAAGCAUGGAAACUGUGGGCCUGUAGAAUCUAUUGAAGUUCAGAGGCAGCUUGUCGCUCGGAGCCCUGUCUUUUAUCGGUUGGAACAAAUGGACAGUGGUGCAACUUCUGUUGGUUAUGUUCGCCUAAAAGAGUUCAAUGCAUUGGCUAGAAAAGAUUUGGCUACUGCAAUGAAGCGACUUCAAGAAUUGGGAGCCUCAUUCUUUGUUCUUGAUCUCAGAGAUAAUCUCGGUGGACUUGUACAGGCUGGCAUUGAAAUUGCUAAGCUCUUUCUAAAUGAAGGGGAGACGGUAAUUUAUACAGUUGGAAGGGAUCCACAGUACCAAAAAAAGAUCACUGCAGAGACAGCACCCCUGAUCACCGCUCCCGUCAUUGUUUUGGUGAACAAAAAUACUGCUAGUGCAAGUGAAAUUGUCGCUACUGCACUUCAUGAUAACUGUAGAGCUGUUCUUGUGGGGGAAAGAACUUUUGGCAAGGGCCUGAUUCAAUCUGUAUUUGAACUUCAUGAUGGGUCUGGUGUGGUGGUCACUAUUGGGAAGUAUGUAACGCCAAAACACAUGGACAUAAAUGGAAAUGGAGUGGAGCCCGAGUUUCUUAAAGUUCCUGGUAAGAAACUUGCAUGCUUUUUUGCCAGAGAAAUGAAAUUGGUUCCCACUAAUCUACAUAACCUCCCAUUUGCAGCUUGGAAUGAAGUCACGAAGCAUCUGUCUGAAUGCCAUAUGCAACAACAGGGAUAAAACAAAGAGAAACAUGUGCAAAUUUGGUAUGUGAUUUAUUCAGCUUGCUCAUUGGUGCUCUGAUUCUGAGCUGAUAUUUGGCUACGAUGACCUGAUUGAUACAUGUACUUCCGUAUUCAGUCUUUUGAUCCUCCUCUUUCCUAAGAACCAACAACGAAGAAAAUACGUUGAUGGAUUCAGAGUCUGGGGAGUUCAGUCAUACCAGCACCGACCAAAAAAAGAGGAUUGAAUAUUUCAUUAACUGAUUCAAUGAAAUAAUUGUAAAAACCAUCCUAGUGUAUUACAAGAACCAUUUAAAGAAGGUGAUACUAACUUUAAAACCCAACAAACAACAAUUGGUUCUAUAUUCCAGCACUUUUCUAACCUGGUACUUGAGUAAUUUCAAUUUAGCCGAGGAGAGCAAUGUGAUGUAUAAUGUACAUUCGUAGUGCAUUAGAGUUAUAAUAGUCUGACUAGUUGUUAUCCCAUAAAUUUGAACAUGUCAUUUUGAUAUAUAUCACGUGUCUAACCUCAGGGGCUUCAUGGAUUUGAGUUCCAUUUAAGUUUAAUUGGAUUUUGUAAAGUAAGAUGCAUUCAUCAAUAAAUUUCAGUUCUGACA
Molecule: RNA transcript, 2174 nt
Organism: Cornus florida
Lineage: Eukaryota; Viridiplantae; Streptophyta; Magnoliopsida; Cornales; Cornaceae
Gene name: carboxyl-terminal-processing peptidase 1, chloroplastic
Exons: 13
Source: RefSeq, a predicted model, not a curated record